AUCGCGGAUCAGAAUGCCGCGGUGAAUACGUUCCCGGGCCUUGUACACACCGCCCGUCACACCAUGGGAGUUGAUUGCACCAGAAGUGGUUAGCCUAACUUAGUGAGGGCGAUCACCACGGUGUGGUUGAUGACUGGGGUGAAGUCGUAACAAGGUAGCCGUAGGGGAACCUGCGGCUGGAUCACCUCCUUA
RNAcentral lists this ribosomal RNA (192 nucleotides) under Psychrobacter pacificensis. RNAcentral describes it as "partial 16S ribosomal RNA". It matches the Rfam family "Bacterial small subunit ribosomal RNA", at positions 1341 to 1533 of the family's 1533-position model. Lineage: Bacteria; Pseudomonadati; Pseudomonadota; Gammaproteobacteria; Moraxellales; Moraxellaceae. The record is from RNAcentral.